ACACGCAUGACACACUGCAUAUCAAUAAGCGGAGGAAAAGAAACUAACAAGGACUCCCUUAGUAACGGCGAGUGAAGCGGGAAGAGCUCAAAUUUGAAAUCUUCAAGGUUUUACCUUGACGAAUUGUAGUUUAAAGAAGUGUUUUCUGUUGGAGUUUUGGUAAAAGUUCUUUGGAAUAGGACAUCAUAGAGGGUGAGAAUCCCGUAUUUGACCAUUAUUUCCAGCUGUGUGAUACACUUUCAAAGAGUCGGAUUGUUUGGGAAUGCAGUCCAAAAUGGGUGGUAAAUUUCAUCUAAAGCUAAAUAUUGGCGAGAGACCGAUAGCGAACAAGUACCGUGAGGGAAAGAUGAAAAGAACUUUGAAAAGAGAGUUAAACAGUAUGUGAAAUUGUCAAAAGGGAAGCGUUUGACACCAGUGUUGUUUUUCCGAAAAUCAAUUACGAAUGUUUUAUUUUUGAGGAAGUUAUGACUUCAUCGGCUUGCUCCUUUCUUUAUGAAACUUUCUUAAUGCACUUUUCGGUUAACAAGUCAACAUCAAUUUCUUUUGUUGUAAAAGGGUAUGAGGAAGGUGGCUUUCUUUUCGGAGAAAGUGUUUAUAGCCUUGUACCUCUGCAAUCGGAGAGAUUGAGGUCUGCAGCGUAGAUCCUUCGGGGCUAGAUACGUUUGUGCUAAGUUAUAGCUUUUCAUAGACAACUUGUUGACUAUGUUUAGUCUUGUAGCUUACUCGCAUGCGCUAUUUUACCUACGCUUAGGAUGUUGAUCUACAGAGCGAGAGU
RNAcentral lists this ribosomal RNA (775 nucleotides) under uncultured Neocallimastigales. Its description in RNAcentral is "partial large subunit ribosomal RNA". It matches the Rfam family "Eukaryotic large subunit ribosomal RNA", at positions 23 to 631 of the family's 3401-position model. The record is from RNAcentral. Lineage: Eukaryota; Fungi; Neocallimastigomycota; Neocallimastigomycetes; Neocallimastigales.